RNAcentral lists this ribosomal RNA (406 nucleotides) under uncultured bacterium. Its description in RNAcentral is "partial 16S ribosomal RNA". It matches the Rfam family "Bacterial small subunit ribosomal RNA", at positions 30 to 526 of the family's 1533-position model. The record is from RNAcentral.
AUUGAACGCUGGCGGCAGGCCUAACACAUGCAAGUCGAACGAGUGGCGGACGGGUGAGUAAUGUCUGGGCAACUGCCUGAUGGAGGGGGAUAACUACUGGAAACGGUAGCUAAUACCGCCUACCAUCGGAUUUGCCCAGAUGGGAUUAGCUAGUGGGUGGGGUAACGGCUAACAUAGGCGACGAUCCCUAGCUGGUCUGAGAGGAUGACGGGCCACACGGGAACUGAUACACGGUCCAGACUCCUACGGAAGGCGGCAGUGGGGAAUAUUGCACAAUGGGCGCAAGCCUGAUACAGCCAUGCCGCGUGUAUGAAGAAGGCCUUCGGGUUGUAAAGUACUUUCAGCGGGGAGGCGUUACCCGCAGAAGAAGCACCGGCUAACUCCGUGCCAGCAGCCGCGGUAAUUC